RNAcentral lists this small nuclear RNA (19 nucleotides) under Arabidopsis thaliana (thale cress). RNAcentral's name for it is "snRNA_11754". Lineage: Eukaryota; Viridiplantae; Streptophyta; Magnoliopsida; Brassicales; Brassicaceae. The record is from RNAcentral.
GACCCUCAGUAGGAGCUUA